Molecule: ribosomal RNA, 225 nt
Filed under: uncultured bacterium
Lineage: Bacteria
Description: partial 16S ribosomal RNA
Rfam family: Bacterial small subunit ribosomal RNA
Source: RNAcentral
CCUGCCCUUCAGAGGGGGACAACAGUUGGAAACGACUGCUAAUACCGCAUACGAUCUGACCUCGGCAUCGAGGGUGGAUGAAAGGUGGCCUCUAUUUAUAAGCUAUCACUGAAGGAGGGGAUUGCGUCUGAUUAGCUAGUUGGAGGGGUAACGGCCCACCAAGGCGAUGAUCAGUAGCCGGUCUGAGAGGAUGAACGGCCACAUUGGGACUGAGACACGGCCCAG